This 2185-nucleotide long non-coding RNA is filed under the name Capra hircus (goat). Its description in RNAcentral is "lncRNA (ENSCHIG00010020028.1)". Lineage: Eukaryota; Metazoa; Chordata; Mammalia; Artiodactyla; Bovidae. The record is from RNAcentral.
GGUCUGAGGCAAAGCUGAGGAUGUCCCAGCUUGAGAGCUCCUAGGGUGCAGGCACUCCCUGCCAUGUGAGCCUCGGUCACUCAAGAUGAGCCUGUCGCCCCUGCCAGGUCCGGGCUGGGCAGCCGGUGGCCGCACACAUCCCAGAGAAGGACAAUGCUUCCCAGGCGGUCGCGGUGAGGCGGGCUGGGUCCCAGCACAGCGAGUCCCAGUCCUCUUCCCGAGGCAGCCACGCACGCUACAACCCCAGGAGGGGCUCUGGGGACCCUGAGGGUCCCCACCCGCCCACACGGGGCAGAGCGGGGCUCAGGCAGGCCGCUGAGGCUCCGCCCCAGACCCCUGGGCAGCGGGUCACUGCUCCUCCCAGGGGCUCCCCGGUGUCCCCAGCGAGGGGACUCUGCUGAGGAGCAUCUUCACAGCCCUGCCUCUCCCUGCGGGGCUCGCUGCCCACCCUUUCAUCCCCCCUCGUCCACCAAGUGUGGGACUGGAGGGAGGCCGGGCUGAGCUGCCGCAGGCGGAGGUCCACACAAGUCCUGCCUCUCCGGCCGGGCCGGGAGCGUGAGGUGGAGGGGCGGGAAGCCGGGGGCCCUCCGCACCCGGACCUCGAUGGCGAGGGCUCCGCCCUGUGGUCCUCGGUUCCCCCGCAGCGGCUGAAGAAGCCAGGCUCCCCCGGCUCAGAGGUGCUCUGGCCACAAGGGCCCCUUGCUGGACUCUCCGAUCCGCCCGUCUGGCUUCGGGAGCGCAGGGCCGGCCGGCUGGCGGCAGGCUUCCCAGGGCAGGGCCAGAGCCACGCCCCCGGCCCCGGCAGGAGCCCCCCGAGGUCGGGCUGGGACGCGGCGCCUUGUCGUGCACACGGGGGCGUCCUGGUCACCGGGGAGGCGCGCGCUCCUCCAGUCCGCGGGCGGGGCGCACGCCUGCCGUCCCCGGCGGCCUCCCAGGCCGAGAGCCCUGCCUAGGCUCCGUGCCCCUAGGUGCCCGGGAGGCGUCUGGAGCGUCCGCAGUGGCGCCGCCGGGCCGGCAACGGCCCUCAGACGCCACGGCCGGGCGGGACCCGUGGGGAGGGACCCCUCCUCACACACCCCGCUUCUCCUCUCCUCGCACACCUGGCCUCUGUUCCCCUCCCCGCCGCCUCCUGCCGGGUCUCCCGCCUCUGCCUCCUCCCCAGCCUCCCGCCUCCGUCUUCACCCGGAGUAGUUGCCCCUUUGAAGCCCCCGCCGGCUUCGGGGCGUCCUCAGCGCUCCUACCGCGCGCGGAGCUGCCCUCAGGCCCCUUGGUUUCAGCUCCUCUUCAUCCUUUCCUUUUCAGCUUGAUUAAGACCAGCGCAGAAACCGAUAGCAGGGGGCGGGGUCAUGGCCGAGGGGGCGGAGCCUACGCGCUGGUGAAGCCCCGCCCUGCCCCGCCCUUUCCUGUCCCGGUCCCCUUUGUGCCGGAGGGCGGGGGCGAGGUCACGGCCGAGGGGGCGGAGCCUACGCUCAGCGCAGAGGGCAAGCCCGGCCCGCCCCGCCCGGUCCCGGGCCCCUUGGACCGGCCCGCGGAGACACCGCCCCGGCUGUUUCAGCGAGGCCGUGCGUGGCCAGCUGUCCUGAGCCCACAAAACGACCAGGUGUGUCUCCCAGGUACUGUUUGGUUGUUUUUAGUGUUUGUAGAAAGAAUGAGACGGAGAAGGAGAGAAAAAUCGGACAGGUUUAGGGGACAGGCCACAAAAGCCCCACCCCAGUCGUCCUGGAUCAAGGGCCUCAGAGGCUGUGCUGGGCCCUCCUGGAGGGGCUGGUGUGAAGGACCCCAUAGGACUUGUCCCUGGGAGCUCGAGCUGAUGGUGGGGCGGGGGUGGUGGUGGAGUAGUGCCCUUGGGGGUCAGCUCCGGUUCCCUCAGCCCCCAGCUCUGCCCACAGCGGUGAGGGCCUGGCCAGCAGACGUAGGGAUGGUAGUCUGAGGAGGGCACCUUCCGUUUGCACGCGUCUUCCUGGGGAGCCUGUUCUCUAUCUGGAACAAUCAGCUCUUCAUGCAAGGGCGCAGAGCUCCAGUGUAAACUGGCUUCAUUUGCUCAUUCACUCAUUCAUUACAGAAAUAGAUGUGGCCAUUUUUCCAGCUGUACCCGGGCCCUGGAAUGUAGCCCUAGGGAGCCAGGGAAGAACUUUGGAGAACAACUCCUUGGGCCCUGUCCCAGCUCAGGCCUAAGCCUGGCUCC